Molecule: non-coding RNA, 79 nt
Organism: Potamilus streckersoni
Lineage: Eukaryota; Metazoa; Mollusca; Bivalvia; Unionida; Unionidae
Source: the annotation of a GenBank genome assembly
GCUCCAGUGGCCUAGUGGUUAGAGCGUCCGCCUCGGAUGCGGGAGGUCGUAGGUACCCGGCUAAGUCAUACCAAAAACU